CANUCGCGKCUACCAUGCAAGUCGAACGGAAAGGCCUCUUUCGGGGGGUACUCGAGUGGCGAACGGGUGUAGUUAACACGUGAGUAACCUGCCCUUGACUUUGGGAUAACUUCAGGAAACUGGGGCUAAUACCGGAUAGGAGCUCCUGCUGCAUGGUGGGGGUUGGAAAGUUUCGGCGGUUGGGGAUGGACUCGCGGCUUAUCAGCUUGUUGGUGGGGUAGUGGCUUACCAAGGCUUUGACGGGUAGCCGGCCUGAGAGGGUGACCGGCCACAUUGGGACUGAGAUACGGCCCAGACUCCUACGGGAGGCAGCAGUGGGGAAUAUUGCACAAUGGGUGGAAGCCUGAUGCAGCAACGCCGUGUGCGGGAUGACGGCCUUCGGGUUGUAAACCGCUUUCGCCCAUGACGAAGCUUUGUGUGACGGUAGUGGGUAAAGAAGCACCGGCUAACUACGUGCCAGCAGCCGCGGUGAUACGUAGGGUGCGAGCGUUGUCCGGAUUUAUUGGGCGUAAAGGGCUCGUAGGUGGUUGAUCGCGUCGGAAGUGUAAUCUUGGGGCUUAACCCUGAGCGUGCUUUUGAUACGGGUUGACUUGAGGAAGGUAGGGGAGAAUGGAAUUCCUGGUGGAGCGGUGGAAUGCGCAGAUAUCANGANGAACACCGGUGGCGAANGCGGUUCUCUGGGCCUUUCCUGACGCU
RNAcentral lists this ribosomal RNA (696 nucleotides) under uncultured bacterium. RNAcentral's name for it is "bacterial SSU rRNA". It matches the Rfam family "Bacterial small subunit ribosomal RNA", at positions 43 to 747 of the family's 1533-position model. The record is from RNAcentral.